Molecule: ribosomal RNA, 431 nt
Filed under: uncultured bacterium
Lineage: Bacteria
Description: bacterial SSU rRNA
Rfam family: Bacterial small subunit ribosomal RNA
Source: RNAcentral
UCGAGGAUCUUCGGCAAUGGGCGCAAGCCUGACCGAGCGACGCCGCGUGUGCGAUGAAGGCCUUCGGGUUGUAAAGCACUGUCGAGGGGGAGAAAAGGGCAACCUUGAUCGACCCCUGGAGGAAGCACGGGCUAAGUUCGUGCCAGCAGCCGCGGUAAGACGAACCGUGCGAACGUUGUUCGGAAUCACUGGGCUUAAAGGGCGCGUAGGCGGGCGGUCAAGUCAGAGGUGAAAUCCCACGGCUCAACCGUGGAAGUGCCCCUGAUACUGAUUGUCUCGAGGGAGGUAGGGGCGUGCGGAACUUCCGGUGGAGCGGUGAAAUGCGUAGAUAUCGGAAGGAACACCGAUGGCGAAAGCAGCGCGCUGGACCUCUACUGACGCUGAGGCGCGAAAGCCAGGGGAGCAAACGGGAUUAGAUACCCCCGUAGUCC